Molecule: long non-coding RNA, 1004 nt
Filed under: Fukomys damarensis (Damara mole-rat)
Lineage: Eukaryota; Metazoa; Chordata; Mammalia; Rodentia; Bathyergidae
Description: lncRNA (ENSFDAG00000029802.1)
Source: RNAcentral
GCCUCCAUUAUGCCAAAGAGGCAGAAGAAUUGGGAGUUAUAGAAACUUCCCCCAGUCCUCCCAAUGGGUUCCUUGAUGCAAACAAAGGCAAAAUUUUAGUACCAAGGAUAAUGGGCUUUUAGUCUGGGCUCCCCUGCAAAGCUUUGGAGUAAUCUACUCACCGCUCCUUGCUUGUUUCCUUACGUGUGAGAAGUUAAGUGCACAUUUUAAAAAUCACCUUGAAAAUUAAUUGAAUCCCAAAUGUUUUAAUAAGAUUUAUGUUGGCUACACAAUAAUUAAUAUCUUACUCACCCACCUUGAAAACAAAACAAAACAAACACAGAAUACCACCCCACCACCACCACCAGACCUGUCAGUCCACCCACUCAUUCCUUCAGGACCACCUCUGCAAGCCUAGCACCCCUGGGUUCUGGAGCACACCCCAACACCCCUUCCAGCUAUUUCUGAGGCCUCUCAAGCAGGGCUGGACUUCAGGCCUAGGCUUGGGCUCUAGCGCCGAAGGGAGUCGGGGGCCCAGGGAAGGACUGGGGUGUGGGCGAGUACUGGCAAGGCCGAGGCGCGCUGGGAAGAGGGCUCCCCUCACCGACGCCGGCCUUGGCGCAGCUGUUCAGUCACAACCGCGAGAAGGGCGCCCUGGAUUCCAGAGGCACAGGCACGUUUUUUAAAAAAAGCAAGAAAAAAGCCACCACGGACUCGAAUUUCUGGAAGCCGGAGCGGGGUUUUCGCCUUAAACACUGAGCCAGAACCCCUCUGCGCUGCCCCGGCCUCUCCGUUACCCGUUUUCGGUUUGCUUUUGGAAGAACCGGUUCCUCAGCCCCGCGUCGCCUCAGUGGUGCCACCCGUGCAGGGGCGUUGCAACCCUUUGAAGAAGUGUGUAGCUAAUAGCCCAUAUAUAAUUCAGAAGAAGUCUUCAAUGGAAGACCCCCAGGGGAUAAAUGGACAGUCUGUAAGUAAACAGAAUGUCAGUCUUAAGGAAAGAGUUAUUACUUUUAAAAUCAUAAUGA